GUGGUUAUACUUGUAUGAGUAUAGCCGUGCGGCUAUACGUUGGGAAUAUAUUUUAAUAUUUAAAGCGUAUAGCCGCGCGGCUAUACUAUUUAAAUUUAUUUUA
This 103-nucleotide microRNA precursor is filed under the name Prunus dulcis (almond). Its description in RNAcentral is "sRNA ncRNA". Lineage: Eukaryota; Viridiplantae; Streptophyta; Magnoliopsida; Rosales; Rosaceae. The record is from RNAcentral.